UGCAGUCGAGCGGAAGGCCCUUCGGGGUACUCGAGCGGCGAACGGGUGAGUAACACGUGAGUAACCUGCCCCAGGCUUUGGGAUAACCCCGGGAAACCGGGGCUAAUACCGGAUAUGACUGGCUGCCGCAUGGUGGUUGGUGGAAAGAUUUUUCGGCUUGGGAUGGACUCGCGGCCUAUCAGCUUGUUGGUGGGGUAAUGGCCUACCAAGGCGGCGACGGGUAGCCGGCCUGAGAGGGCGACCGGCCACACUGGGACUGAGACACGGCCCAGACUCCUACGGGAGGCAGCAGUGGGGAAUCUUGCACAAUGGGCGGAAGCCUGAUGCAGCGACGCCGCGUGAGGGAUGACGGCCUUCGGGUUGUAAACCUCUUUCAGCAGGGACGAAGCGUUUGUGACGGUACCUGCAGAAGAAGCGCCGGCCAACUACGUGCCAGCAGCCGCGGUAAGACGUAGGGCGCGAGCGUUGUCCGGAUUUAUUGGGCGUAAAGAGCUCGUAGGCGGCUUGUCGCGUCGACUGUGAAAACCCGUGGCUCAACUUCGGGCUUGCAGUCGAUACGGGCAGGCUAGAGUUCGGUAGGGGAGACUGGAAUUCCUGGUGUAGCGGUGAAAUGCGCA
This 617-nucleotide ribosomal RNA is filed under the name Salinispora pacifica. Its description in RNAcentral is "bacterial SSU rRNA". It matches the Rfam family "Bacterial small subunit ribosomal RNA", at positions 56 to 692 of the family's 1533-position model. Lineage: Bacteria; Bacillati; Actinomycetota; Actinomycetes; Micromonosporales; Micromonosporaceae. The record is from RNAcentral.